ACCGUGGUAUCCCGGCUCACCUCCCCCCCCCCCCCCCCCCCCCCCCCCCAGGAUCCUGUGUGAGUUUCUCUUUCUCGGGCAGUUCCUCAACUGUUGGUCUUUCCCAAGACCUCCUAAUCGGCUCCUCUCUUCUUUUCUUGAACAUUCUUUGCCUGGGUAAAUCCAUCCACUCUCUCGGCAUCAGUCGAAAGGUGAUCACACUUCUCUAUUUGCCCCAAACUGUUGGGGCUGACCCCCUGUUUUCCCAGCGCAGUUACUAACAGCACCCCUCCCCCCACCAUAAAAAAGUCCCACUUCGGACGGAAACAAAUGAUUCAGUCUCCUUAUCAAUCACCAUUUGUAUGCAGAAGGCUCCUGAAUUGCGGCAAAGCCCAGUGGCUCAGAGGGGGGCCCGGAGCCAGCCCCCUGCGUUUAUAUCCGGUUCCACCGCUUACCAGCCUUUGAGACCCAGGGCCCUUUAAGUGAUUUUUUGCACUCAGAACCUUCAUCAACAAACUGAGAAUAAUACCAUGAAUCUCUUUAGAAGAGAGGGUUAAAUGAACAAAGUCAUUAGCGCGAGGACCGCCGCGUUUUUAAGUGCUCAAUAAAUUACGCCAGCCCAAACCUGUCUUCCCAGUGCCAGACGCAUUCAGACGCCCAUUUAUCCUACCAUCAAACCCUGGCUGAAUUCCUAAGAUAAUUCUCCUGUGACCCUUGGACAAUCUUCCUGAAGAAGGAUCUGGAAGACCCGUGUUCCCACCGCUCUGUGUGUUGGCAGCAGCGGGACUGAGGAUUUCGCCAGUUUCAAGCUGCGUGGCUUGGAACGGGAAGAGGGACGAGAUCCAAGAGGAGAGAAGCUCACCUGGAGAAUGGAACGCGCAAACUCACUCUGGUGCUGGCCUUUUCCAAGUCCUGUUUUUCUCCCUUCAGUUCCGAGUUUGGACCCAUGAGCUUCCCUUCCUACUGCCAGGUUCAGCUGGGCUUUGGGCUUCUCCUCUAUCCCUCAGUGACAAAAUCAAGUCAACAUGCUCUGCUCUCAGGGUUAAUUGUGGAAAUCAGAUGAAAUGCUCUGUAAACUUUACAAACGUUCAUUGUUGUUAUUCUUGAGCCACAUCUGCAUGUUCGAGGGGUGGGUUUUUACGAGGUAAGAGAGCUUUCCAGUUGAACGAAGGGCUUAAUUUAUUACUGAGAAACACUAAUUUCAUGUGUUAUUCAGUAACAUUUAGUGUCCACUCCACCAGUAUACGAAGAGUUUUACCUGCUUAUCUAUGACAUUGGUAUUUUAUUUUUCUCCAUUUUUCACAUUUGAAAAUUAAGUUUGGAAGAUGAGUCAUCUGCCCAAGGUCAUCUAUUUUAUGAAAAAGCAGAGCUGGGAGUCAAAACUGAUGCCAAGCCUUUGUGGUCAGCCACAACAUACAAGAUUGCACAGACAGCCUACGCUUCACAUCCUUUCUCCUGUUCACAACUGGCUGUUUCUUUUUACUGUACAUUUUUAGAGAUAUAGUAGUGUAUCAAUCAUAAAUCUUUCUUGUUACAAAAUAACAGUUGUCUUGUGGGAAUGUAAACUGGUGCAGCCCCUCUGGAAAACAGUGUGGAGGUUCCUCAGGAAA
Molecule: long non-coding RNA, 1589 nt
Organism: Hyaena hyaena (striped hyena)
Lineage: Eukaryota; Metazoa; Chordata; Mammalia; Carnivora; Hyaenidae
Exons: 3
Source: RefSeq, a predicted model, not a curated record